GAUGAACGCUGGCGGCGUGCCUAAUACAUGCAACUCGAGCGAACAGAUAAGGAGCUUGCUCCUUUGACGUUAGCGGCGGACGGGUGAGUAACACGUGGGUAACCUACCUAUAAGACUGGGAUAACUUCGGGAAACCGGAGCUAAUACCGGAUAAUAUUUCGAACCGCAUGGUUCGAUAGUGAAAGAUGGUUUUGCUAUCACUUAUAGAUGGACCCGCGCCGUAUUAGCUAGUUGGUAAGGUAACGGCUUACCAAGGCGACGAUACGUAGCCGACCUGAGAGGGUGAUCGGCCACACUAGAACUGGAACACGGUCCAGACUCCUGCGGGAGGCAGCAGUAGGGAAUCUUCCGCAAUGGGCGAAAGCCUGACGGAUCAACGCCGCGUGAGUGAUGAAGGUCUUCGGAUCGUAAAACUCUGUUAUUAGGGAAGAACAUACGUGUAAGUAACUGUGCACGUCUUGACGGUACCUAAUCAGAAAGCCACGGCUAACUACGUG
This 497-nucleotide ribosomal RNA is filed under the name uncultured bacterium. RNAcentral describes it as "partial 16S ribosomal RNA". It matches the Rfam family "Bacterial small subunit ribosomal RNA", at positions 28 to 507 of the family's 1533-position model. The record is from RNAcentral.